This 77-nucleotide transfer RNA is filed under the name Pseudomonadota bacterium. Its description in RNAcentral is "Proteobacteria bacterium (cold seep metagenome) tRNA-Pro". It matches the Rfam family "tRNA". From Rfam's summary of the family: Transfer RNA (tRNA) molecules are approximately 80 nucleotides in length. Their secondary structure includes four short double-helical elements and three loops (D, anti-codon, and T loops). Further hydrogen bonds mediate the characteristic L-shaped molecular structure. tRNAs have two regions of fundamental functional importance: the anti-codon, which is responsible for specific mRNA codon recognition, and the 3' end, to which the tRNAs corresponding amino acid is attached (by aminoacyl-tRNA synthetases). tRNAs cope with the degeneracy of the genetic code in two manners: having more than one tRNA (with a specific anti-codon) for a particular amino acid; and 'wobble' base-pairing, i.e. permitting non-standard base-pairing at the 3rd anti-codon position. The record is from RNAcentral. RNAcentral also lists the same sequence under 1 other name. Lineage: Bacteria; Pseudomonadati; Pseudomonadota.
CGGGGCGUGGCGCAAUUUGGUAGCGCACCGGUAUGGGGUGCCGGCGGUUGUCGGUUCAAGUCCGGCCGCCCCGACCA